UACGGGGGGAGCAAGCGUUGUUCGGAUUACUGGCGUAAAGGGCGCGUAGGCGGCCACCGCAAGUCGACUGUGAAAUCUCCGGGCUUAACCCGGAAAGGUCAGCCGAUACUGCGGGGCUAGAGUGCAGAAGGGCAACUGGAAUUCUCGGUGUAGCGGUGAAAUGCGUAGAUAUCGAGAGGAACACCUGCGGCGAAGGCGGGUUGCUGGGCUGACACUGACGCUGAGGCGCGAAAGCGUGGGGAGCAAACAGG
RNAcentral lists this ribosomal RNA (251 nucleotides) under uncultured bacterium. RNAcentral describes it as "partial 16S ribosomal RNA". It matches the Rfam family "Bacterial small subunit ribosomal RNA", at positions 524 to 776 of the family's 1533-position model. The record is from RNAcentral.